CAUAUCAAUAAGCGGAGGAAAAGAAACUAACAAGGAUUCCCCUAGUAACUGCGAGUGAAGCGGGAAAAGCUCAAAUUUAAAAUCUGGCGGUCUUUGGCCGUCCGAGUUGUAAUCUAGAGAAGUGUUAUCCGCGCUGGACCGUGUACAAGUCUCCUGGAAUGGAGCGUCAUAGAGGGUGAGAAUCCCGUCUUUGACACGGACUGCCAGGGCUUUGUGAUGCGCUCUCAAAGAGUCGAGUUGUUUGGGAAUGCAGCUCAAAAUGGGUGGUAAAUUCCAUCUAAAGCUAAAUAUUGGCGAGAGACCGAUAGCGAACAAGUACCGUGAGGGAAAGAUGAAAAGAACUUUGGAAAGAGAGUUAAACAGUACGUGAAAUUGCUGAAAGGGAAACGCUUGAAGUCAGUCGCGUUGUCCAGGGAUCAACCUUGCUUUUGCUUGGUGCACUUUCUGGUUGACGGGUCAGCAUCAAUUUUGACCAUUGGAAAAAGAUUAGGGGAAUGUGGCAUCCUUGGAUGUGUUAUAGCCCUUGGUUGCAUACAAUGGUUGGGAUUGAGGAACUCAGCACGCCGCAAGGCCGGGUUUUAACCACGUACGUGCUUAGGAUGCUGGCAUAAUGGCUUUAAUCGACCCGUCUUGAAACACGGACCAAGGAGUCUAACAUACCUGCGAGUGUUUGGGUGGAAAACUCGAACGCGUAAUGAAAGUGAAAGUUGAGAUCCCUGUCGUGGGGAGCAUCGACGCCCAGACCAGACCUUUUGUGACGGUUCUGCGGUAGAGCAUGUAUGUUGGGACCCGAAAGAUGGUGAACUAUGCCUGAAUAGGGUGAAGCCAGAGGAAACUCUGGUGGAGGCUCGUAGCGAUUCUGACGUGCAAAUCGAUCGUCAAAUUUGGGUAUAGGGGCGAAAGACUAAUCGAACCAUCUAGUAGCUGGUUCCUG
RNAcentral lists this ribosomal RNA (934 nucleotides) under Cortinarius canarius. Its description in RNAcentral is "partial large subunit ribosomal RNA". It matches the Rfam family "Eukaryotic large subunit ribosomal RNA", at positions 39 to 960 of the family's 3401-position model. The record is from RNAcentral. Lineage: Eukaryota; Fungi; Basidiomycota; Agaricomycetes; Agaricales; Cortinariaceae.